GGGGAUGAAAGGUUUCGACAAGGACAAGUUCUUUAAAAUUGCAGGUCAGCCUGAAACAAGCUGUCAACUGUUUCAAAAAGCUAACUGGCAACGAUUACACGGUUGCUCCUAGCUAUCAAUACGCCUACGCGGCCGCUGCUUAAACGCGUUUCCGCGUCAGCCUGAUAGCCAGGCAUUCAAUCGGUUCUUCCCUGAUGGAGCCGGUUGGGUGACAACCCAGUCAGGGCGUCAGUUUCGAGUCGCUGAUCAGACUCGAGCGGAGAAGAAUGAUCAAAAUCGCGGUGGUUAGGAGUGGGGCUGUUACUCCCACCGCGAAAUCAAGCAGCCUAAACCUGUAGAAAUUUUAAAAAUUUUUUCUUGGACGUCGGUUCAAUUCCGGCCAUCUCCACAC
Molecule: transfer-messenger RNA, 391 nt
Filed under: Patescibacteria group
Lineage: Bacteria
Also listed under: 1 other name
Description: PFEM01 sp002793635 Standard tmRNA
Rfam family: transfer-messenger RNA
About the family: Bacterial tmRNA, also known as 10Sa RNA or SsrA, is named for its dual tRNA and mRNA-like properties. Its role is to liberate the mRNA from a stalled ribosome.
Source: RNAcentral